This is a long non-coding RNA of Scophthalmus maximus (turbot), 2049 nucleotides long. RefSeq lists it as uncharacterized. The record is from RefSeq and is a predicted model, not a curated record. NCBI's taxonomy places the organism in Eukaryota, Metazoa, Chordata, Actinopteri, Pleuronectiformes, Scophthalmidae. The transcript is spliced from 3 exons.
GUGUGUGUGUGUUUGGCCCCAUCUCGCACUCGAUAGCCAGACUACCACCAUCUGCUAUAGCGUGGGAACCUCAGUCUCCUUCAUAUGAACUGCCCGCUUGGAGAGCAUUACCCCCACCUGAAGAGCCUAUGCAGGUGUCUCAGGAGGAACGACAGCGCCGACUGCGGGCUGUUUGGUGGAGAGGUGUCGGAGAGGAGGACGGAGCCCAUCCUGCCACCAUCUCGGGUGGUGGCGGCUGUCACCUGGGAGGUGGAAUCCGCAGUGAAGAAGGCACAAGAACAGCAACCUGACCCAGGUAACGGCCCUGCUAACCGUCUUUUUGUUCCUGACUCUGUACGCUCUCAGGUUCUCUCUUGGGCUCACGGUUCCCGGAUCUUUUGCCAUCCUGGAGUUAGACGGACCUUAGGCUUGGUUAAGAUACGUUUCUGGUGGUCUUCUAUGGACAAUGAUGUAAAGCGGUACGUGGCUGCAUGUACUGUUUGUGCAAUAUGAAAGGCUCUCCAUCGGCCGCCUGCUGGUUUGUUGCAACCUCUGCCUGUGCCCCACCGGCCUUGGUCCAAUAUUGCUCUUGACUUUGUCACUGGACUACCCCCGUCCCAAGGUAAUUCCUCCAUACUCACCAUUGUCGACCGAGUUAUUUUUUGUUAAUUUUGUGGCCUUGCCCAAACUCCCCUCUGCUCAGGAGACUGCUGACCUCCUGGCUCUCCAUGUUUUUCGCCUCCAUGGAAUUCCUGCUGAUAUUGUUUCGGACCGGGGUCCACAAUUCUUUUCGCAAGUAUGGAAAGCAUUUUGUUCCGCCCUUGGGGCCACCGUCAGUUUAUCCUCUGGUCAUCAUUCCCAGACCAAUGGCCAGGCCGAGAGAGCUAAUCAGGACCUGGAAUCUUUGUCGCUGCCUCAAACCCCUCCUCCUGGAGUACUCACCUGCCUUGGGUUGAGUAUGCACAUAACUCUCUCACCUGCUCCGCCACAGGUCUGUCCCCUUUUGAAGCUGCUCUCGGAUACCAGCCCCCUCUCUUCCCGGUCCAGGAGGGAGAGAUCGCUGUCCCAUCGAUUCAAUACCAUCUGAGGCGCUGUAGGAAGCUAUGGCAGGACACCAGAGCUGCCCUCCUUUGUACAGCUGAGUCCAACAAGAGGAUGGCGGAUCGGAAACGUUCUCGAGCCCUGGAGUACAAAACAGGUCAGGAAGUUUGGUUGUCAUCCAAGGACAUUCAGUUGAAAGUUGAGUCACGUAAAUUGGCUCCUCGUUAUCUUGGUCCAUUCAAGAUUGCUGAGGUCAUUAACCCAUCCGUUGUCAAACUCAAACUGCCUGCUUCCAUGAGGAUUCAUCCCACCUUUCAUGUGUCACAGUUGAGGCCGGUGGCUUCAAGUUCUCUCUGCCCUCCAGCCGUACCCCCGCCUCCCACCCCGAUCAUUGAUGGCCAUCCUGCCUUUACAGUCCGCCGCCUCUGGGAUGUGCGUCGCCGGGGACGGGGUUUCCCGUAUCUGGUUGAUUGGGAGGGUUACGGUCCUGAAGAGAGGUCAUGGGUUCCCCGCUCCCGGAUCUUGGAUCGUGUCAUGGUCAGGGAAUUCCAGGCGGCACACCCUGAGAAACCCGGUGGGACGCCUGGAGGCGCCCGUUGAGGGGGGGUACUGUUAGGAUCCGCCCCCUUCCCCUUGUCCUCCUGCCUCCCCUACCCUCUUGCCUGUGUCUCCAGUCUGUGUGUGUGUGUGUGUGUGUGUGUCUGUCUGGAGCUGGGCGUCGCCAUGGUCUCUGCUCUCCUGGAUGCAAUCAAGCCUGCACAGCUGCUGCCAAUCCUGCCAUCAUCUCACCCUCAGUCUGCAGUACUUAAGACCGGCUCAUUCUUCCACUCAUCGCCAGAUCGUACAGUCAUCUUCCGUGAUCCAGUCCCAUGGUUUAUGCUGCCUUGCCUCGUCCAGCUCCAUCCGUCAAGUUACCUGCCAGGAUCAAGUCCCCGGAAUCGCUCCCCAGCCCGCCUCUGGAGUUUAGCCCACCAGUCCUGGAUCACCGCCGCAUAGCCUGGAACUCCAGUCCUCCAUUGUUGUGUGUAA